Molecule: ribosomal RNA, 253 nt
Filed under: uncultured bacterium
Lineage: Bacteria
Description: partial 16S ribosomal RNA
Rfam family: Bacterial small subunit ribosomal RNA
Source: RNAcentral
UACGUAGGGUGCAAGCGUUAAUCGGAAUUACUGGGCGUAAAGCGUGCGCAGGCGGUUGUGUAAGUCAGAUGGGAAAUCCCCGGGCUCAACCUGGGAACUGCAUUUGUGACUGCACAGCUGGAGUGCGGCAGAGGGGGAUGGAAUUCCGCGUGUAGCAGUGAAAUGCGUAGGUAUGCGGAGGAACACCGAUGGCGAAGGCAAUCCCCUGGGCCUGCACUGACGCUCAUGCACGAAAGCGUGGGGAGCAAACAGG